This 253-nucleotide ribosomal RNA is filed under the name uncultured bacterium. RNAcentral describes it as "partial 16S ribosomal RNA". It matches the Rfam family "Bacterial small subunit ribosomal RNA", at positions 524 to 776 of the family's 1533-position model. The record is from RNAcentral.
UACGUAGGGUGCAAGCGUUGUCCGGAAUUAUUGGGCGUAAAGAGCUUGUAGGCGGUUUGUCGCGUCUGCCGUGAAAAUCCGGGGCUCAACCCCGGACUUGCGGUGGGUACGGGCAGACUAGAGUGUGGUAGGGGAGACUGGAAUUCCUGGUGUAGCGGUGAAAUGCGCAGAUAUCAGGAGGAACACCGAUGGCGAAGGCAGGUCUCUGGGCCGCUACUGACGCUGAGAAGCGAAAGCGUGGGGAGCGAACAGG